This 590-nucleotide ribosomal RNA is filed under the name uncultured bacterium. RNAcentral describes it as "partial 16S ribosomal RNA". It matches the Rfam family "Bacterial small subunit ribosomal RNA", at positions 355 to 1375 of the family's 1533-position model. The record is from RNAcentral.
UGAGGAAUCUUGCGCAAUGGGGGAAACCCUGACGCAGCCACGCCGCGUGGGUGAAGAAGGCCUUCGGGUUGUAAAGCCCUGUCAGGUGGGAAGAACCGCAGUCUGGCCAAUACCUGGACUGCUUGACGGUACCACCAAAGGAAGCACCGGCUAACUCCGUGCCAGCAGCCGCGGUAAUACGGAGGGUGCAAGCGUUGUUCGGAAUUACUGGGCGUAAAGCGCGUGUAGGCGGACCGGUAAGUUGGGAGUGAAAGCCCUGGGCUCAACCCAGGAAGUGCUUCCAAUACUGCCGGCCUUGAGUUCCGGAGAGGGUGGUGGAAUUCCCGGUGUAGAGGUGAAAUUCGUAGAUAUCGGGAGGAACACCAGUGGCGAAGGCGACCACCUGGACGAGAACUGACGCUGAGACUCGAAAGCAGUGGGGAGCAAACAGGAUUAGAUACCCUGGUAGUCCACGCCGUAAACGGUGUUCACUAGGUGUAGCGGGUAUUGACCCUCGCUGUGCCGCAGCUAACGCAUUAAGUGAACCGCCUGGGGAGUACGGCCGCAAGGUUAAAAACUCAAAGGAAUUGACGGGGUCAUAGCUGUUUCCU